Molecule: ribosomal RNA, 2900 nt
Filed under: Escherichia coli
Lineage: Bacteria; Pseudomonadati; Pseudomonadota; Gammaproteobacteria; Enterobacterales; Enterobacteriaceae
Description: bacterial LSU rRNA
Rfam family: Bacterial large subunit ribosomal RNA
Source: RNAcentral
UUAAGCGACUAAGCGUACACGGUGGAUGCCCUGGCAGUCAGAGGCGAUGAAGGACGUGCUAAUCUGCGAUAAGCGUCGGUAAGGUGAUAUGAACCGUUAUAACCGGCGAUUUCCGAAUGGGGAAACCCAGUGUGUUUCGACACACUAUCAUUAACUGAAUCCAUAGGUUAAUGAGGCGAACCGGGGGAACUGAACAUCUAAGUACCCCGAGGAAAAGAAAUCAACCGAGAUUCCCCCAGUAGCGGCGAGCGAACGGGGAGCAGCCCAGAGCCUGAAUCAGUGUGUGUGUUAGUGGAAGCGUCUGGAAAGGCGCGCGAUACAGGGUGACAGCCCCGUACACAAAAAUGCACAUAUUGUGAGCUCGAUGAGUAGGGCGGGACACGUGGUAUCCUGUCUGAAUAUGGGGGGACCAUCCUCCAAGGCUAAAUACUCCUGACUGACCGAUAGUGAACCAGUACCGUGAGGGAAAGGCGAAAAGAACCCCGGCGAGGGGAGUGAAAAAGAACCUGAAACCGUGUACGUACAAGCAGUGGGAGCACGCUUAGGCGUGUGACUGCGUACCUUUUGUAUAAUGGGUCAGCGACUUAUAUUCUGUAGCAAGGUUAACCGAAUAGGGGAGCCGAAGGGAAACCGAGUCUUAACUGGGCGUUAAGUUGCAGGGUAUAGACCCGAAACCCGGUGAUCUAGCCAUGGGCAGGUUGAAGGUUGGGUAACACUAACUGGAGGACCGAACCGACUAAUGUUGAAAAAUUAGCGGAUGACUUGUGGCUGGGGGUGAAAGGCCAAUCAAACCGGGAGAUAGCUGGUUCUCCCCGAAAGCUAUUUAGGUAGCGCCUCGUGAAUUCAUCUCCGGGGGUAGAGCACUGUUUCGGCAAGGGGGUCAUCCCGACUUACCAACCCGAUGCAAACUGCGAAUACCGGAGAAUGUUAUCACGGGAGACACACGGCGGGUGCUAACGUCCGUCGUGAAGAGGGAAACAACCCAGACCGCCAGCUAAGGUCCCAAAGUCAUGGUUAAGUGGGAAACGAUGUGGGAAGGCCCAGACAGCCAGGAUGUUGGCUUAGAAGCAGCCAUCAUUUAAAGAAAGCGUAAUAGCUCACUGGUCGAGUCGGCCUGCGCGGAAGAUGUAACGGGGCUAAACCAUGCACCGAAGCUGCGGCAGCGACGCUGAUGCGUUGUUGGGUAGGGGAGCGUUCUGUAAGCCUGUGAAGGUGUGCUGUGAGGCAUGCUGGAGGUAUCAGAAGUGCGAAUGCUGACAUAAGUAACGAUAAAGCGGGUGAAAAGCCCGCUCGCCGGAAGACCAAGGGUUCCUGUCCAACGUUAAUCGGGGCAGGGUGAGUCGACCCCUAAGGCGAGGCCGAAAGGCGUAGUCGAUGGGAAACAGGUUAAUAUUCCUGUACUUGGUGUUACUGCGAAGGGGGACGGAGAAGGCUAUGUUGGCCGGGCGACGGUUGUCCCGGUUUAAGCGUGUAGGCUGGUUUUCCAGGCAAAUCCGGAAAAUCAAGGCUGAGGCGUGAUGACGAGGCACUACGGUGCUGAAGCAACAAAUGCCCUGCUUCCAGGAAAAGCCUCUAAGCAUCAGGUAACAUCAAAUCGUACCCCAAACCGACACAGGUGGUCAGGUAGAGAAUACCAAGGCGCUUGAGAGAACUCGGGUGAAGGAACUAGGCAAAAUGGUGCCGUAACUUCGGGAGAAGGCACGCUGAUAUGUAGGUGAAGUCCCUCGCGGAUGGAGCUGAAAUCAGUCGAAGAUACCAGCUGGCUGCAACUGUUUAUUAAAAACACAGCACUGUGCAAACACGAAAGUGGACGUAUACGGUGUGACGCCUGCCCGGUGCCGGAAGGUUAAUUGAUGGGGUCAGCGCAAGCGAAGCUCUUGAUCGAAGCCCCGGUAAACGGCGGCCGUAACUAUAACGGUCCUAAGGUAGCGAAAUUCCUUGUCGGGUAAGUUCCGACCUGCACGAAUGGCGUAAUGAUGGCCAGGCUGUCUCCACCCGAGACUCAGUGAAAUUGAACUCGCUGUGAAGAUGCAGUGUACCCGCGGCAAGACGGAAAGACCCCGUGAACCUUUACUAUAGCUUGACACUGAACAUUGAGCCUUGAUGUGUAGGAUAGGUGGGAGGCUUUGAAGUGUGGACGCCAGUCUGCAUGGAGCCGACCUUGAAAUACCACCCUUUAAUGUUUGAUGUUCUAACGUGGACCCGUGAUCCGGGUUGCGGACAGUGUCUGGUGGGUAGUUUGACUGGGGCGGUCUCCUCCUAAAGAGUAACGGAGGAGCACGAAGGUUGGCUAAUCCUGGUCGGACAUCAGGAGGUUAGUGCAAUGGCAUAAGCCAGCUUGACUGCGAGCGUGACGGCGCGAGCAGGUGCGAAAGCAGGUCAUAGUGAUCCGGUGGUUCUGAAUGGAAGGGCCAUCGCUCAACGGAUAAAAGGUACUCCGGGGAUAACAGGCUGAUACCGCCCAAGAGUUCAUAUCGACGGCGGUGUUUGGCACCUCGAUGUCGGCUCAUCACAUCCUGGGGCUGAAGUAGGUCCCAAGGGUAUGGCUGUUCGCCAUUUAAAGUGGUACGCGAGCUGGGUUUAGAACGUCGUGAGACAGUUCGGUCCCUAUCUGCCGUGGGCGCUGGAGAACUGAGGGGGGCUGCUCCUAGUACGAGAGGACCGGAGUGGACGCAUCACUGGUGUUCGGGUUGUCAUGCCAAUGGCACUGCCCGGUAGCUAAAUGCGGAAGAGAUAAGUGCUGAAAGCAUCUAAGCACGAAACUUGCCCCGAGAUGAGUUCUCCCUGACUCCUUGAGAGUCCUGAAGGAACGUUGAAGACGACGACGUUGAUAGGCCGGGUGUGUAAGCGCAGCGAUGCGUUGAGCUAACCGGUACUAAUGAACCGUGAGGCUUAACCUU